GAAAAGGUAGGCUUAAGCUAAAAUUCUGUUGUUAAGCAUAAUGGUAUAUAAGCAUGCCUGACUGUGAGACCUACUGGUCGAACAGAGACGAAAGUCGGCCAUAGUGAUCCGAGAGUCCCAUGUGGAAGGGCUCUCGCUCGACGGAUCCUAGGGAUAAUAGGCUGAUAACUCCAAAAGCUUUUAUCGAUGGAGUUGUUUGGCACCUCGAUGUUGACUCAUCACAUCCUGGGGUUGAAAAAGGUCCCAAGGGUUCGGUUGUUCGCCGAUUCAAUGGUACAUGAGUUGGGUUUAGAAUGUGUAUUAUUC
This 306-nucleotide small RNA is filed under the name Malus domestica (apple). Its description in RNAcentral is "sRNA MD15G0101900". It matches the Rfam family "Bacterial large subunit ribosomal RNA", at positions 2310 to 2632 of the family's 2925-position model. Lineage: Eukaryota; Viridiplantae; Streptophyta; Magnoliopsida; Rosales; Rosaceae. The record is from RNAcentral.